This 270-nucleotide unclassified non-coding RNA is filed under the name Hevea brasiliensis (rubber tree). Lineage: Eukaryota; Viridiplantae; Streptophyta; Magnoliopsida; Malpighiales; Euphorbiaceae. The record is from RNAcentral.
GUCUUGCUAAAGCAGCUGAUAUACGGAGGAUGCUAAGAAGAGUUCUAACGGUUGUGUAGGAAUGUGGGGCAUUUGACUUAGCUUCUUCAUGUCGAAUGCUGGAAUAUGCAGUAGCAAUAUACUCCUCCAGCUCCUUGGGGACAUAAGGUGACAGUCUCCUAGCUGCUGAAAUAUAUGCUCGAAGUUUAGAUGGUUCAAGCGGAGUGAAACCAAGAGCAGGAGAUUCUUUAUUCUGGUGCACAUAAACUACAUGCCUAGCCAUUUCAAGAU